RNAcentral lists this ribosomal RNA (216 nucleotides) under Glomeromycotina sp. Its description in RNAcentral is "partial small subunit ribosomal RNA". The stretch from base 40 to 216 matches the Rfam family "Eukaryotic small subunit ribosomal RNA", at positions 686 to 864 of the family's 1831-position model. The record is from RNAcentral. Lineage: Eukaryota; Fungi; Glomeromycota.
GGGUCAGUAGGUUGGUCGUGCCACCGGUACGUACUGGUCUCACUGAUUCCUCCUUCCUGAAGAGCCGUAAUGCCAUUAAUUUGGUGUUGCGGGGAAACAGGACUGUUACUUUGGAAAAAUUAGAGUGUUUAAAGCAAGCUAACGCUUGAAUACGUUAGCAUGGAAUAAUGAAAUAGGACGAUCGAUCCUAUUUUGUUGGUUUCUAGGAUUGACGUA